RNAcentral lists this ribosomal RNA (1181 nucleotides) under Salmonella enterica. RNAcentral's name for it is "partial 23S ribosomal RNA". It matches the Rfam family "Bacterial large subunit ribosomal RNA", at positions 1762 to 2925 of the family's 2925-position model. The record is from RNAcentral. Lineage: Bacteria; Pseudomonadati; Pseudomonadota; Gammaproteobacteria; Enterobacterales; Enterobacteriaceae.
CGGAGCUGAAGUCAGUCGAAGAUACCAGCUGGCUGCAACUGUUUAUUAAAAACACAGCACUGUGCAAACACGAAAGUGGACGUAUACGGUGUGACGCCUGCCCGGUGCCGGAAGGUUAAUUGAUGGGGUCAGCGCAAGCGAAGCUCCUGAUCGAAGCCCCGGUAAACGGCGGCCGUAACUAUAACGGUCCUAAGGUAGCGAAAUUCCUUGUCGGGUAAGUUCCGACCUGCACGAAUGGCGUAAUGAUGGCCAGGCUGUCUCCACCCGAGACUCAGUGAAAUUGAACUCGCUGUGAAGAUGCAGUGUACCCGCGGCAAGACGGAAAGACCCCGUGAACCUUUACUAUAGCUUGACACUGAACAUUGAGCCUUGAUGUGUAGGAUAGGUGGGAGGCUUUGAAGCGUGGACGCCAGUCUGCGUGGAGCCGACCUUGAAAUACCACCCUUUAAUGUUUGAUGUUCUAACGUGGACCCGUGAUCCGGGUUGCGGACAGUGUCUGGUGGGUAGUUUGACUGGGGCGGUCUCCUCCUAAAGAGUAACGGAGGAGCACGAAGGUUGGCUAAUCCUGGUCGGACAUCAGGAGGUUAGUGCAAUGGCAUAAGCCAGCUUGACUGCGAGCGUGACGGCGCGAGCAGGUGCGAAAGCAGGUCAUAGUGAUCCGGUGGUUCUGAAUGGAAGGGCCAUCGCUCAACGGAUAAAAGGUACUCCGGGGAUAACAGGCUGAUACCGCCCAAGAGUUCAUAUCGACGGCGGUGUUUGGCACCUCGAUGUCGGCUCAUCACAUCCUGGGGCUGAAGUAGGUCCCAAGGGUAUGGCUGUUCGCCAUUUAAAGUGGUACGCGAGCUGGGUUUAGAACGUCGUGAGACAGUUCGGUCCCUAUCUGCCGUGGGCGCUGGAGAACUGAGGGGGGCUGCUCCUAGUACGAGAGGACCGGAGUGGACGCAUCACUGGUGUUCGGGUUGUCAUGCCAAUGGCACUGCCCGGUAGCUAAAUGCGGAAGAGAUAAGUGCUGAAAGCAUCUAAGCACGAAACUUGCCCCGAGAUGAGUUCUCCCUGAGACUUUAGGUCUCCUGAAGGAACGUUGAAGACGACGACGUUGAUAGGCCGGGUGUGUAAGCGCAGCGAUGCGUUGAGCUAACCGGUACUAAUGAACCGUGAGGCUUAACCUUACAACGCCGAAG